GAGUUUGAUCCUGGCUCAGAACGUACGCUGGCGGCACGCCUAACACAUGCAAGUCGAACGAAGUAGCAAUACUUAGUGGCAGACGGGUGAGUAACAUGUAGGUAUCUGCCCUUUGGCCUGGAAUAACACGAGGAAACUUGUGCUAAUACCGGAUAAGUCUUUACGGAGAAAGCUUUAUGCACCAUUGGAUGAGCCUGCACUUGAUUAGUUUGUUGGUGGGGUAAUGGCCUACCAAGACUGUGAUCAAUAGCUGAUUUGAGAGGAUGAUCAGCCACAUUGGGACUGAGACACGGCCCAAACUCCUACGGGAGGCAGCAGUGGGGAAUCUUGCACAAUGGAGGAAACUCUGAUGCAGCGAUGCCGCGUGAGUGAAGAAGGCCCUUGGGUUGUAAAGCUCUUUCGUCGGGGAAGAAAAUGACUGUACCCGAAUAAGAAGGUCCGGCUAACUUCGUGCCAGCAGCCGCGGUAAUACGAAGGGACCUAGCGUAGUUCGGAAUUACUGGGCUUAAAGAGUUCGUAGGUGGUUGAAAAAGUUGGUGGUGAAAUCCCAGAGCUUAACUCUGGAACUGCCAUCAAAACUUUUCAGCUAGAGUAUGAUAGAGGAAAGCAGAAUUCUAGUGUAGAGGUGAAAUUCGUAGAUAUUAGAAAGAAUACCAAUUGCGAAGGCAGCUUUCUGGAUCAUUACUGACACUGAGGAACGAAAGCAUGGGUAGCGAAGAGGAUUAGAUACCCUCGUAGUCCAUGCCGUAAACGAUGUGUGUUAGACGUUGGAAAUUUAUUUUCAGUGUCGCAGCGAAAGCGAUAAACACACCGCCUGGGGAGUACGACCGCAAGGUUAAAACUCAAAUGAAUUGACGGGGACCCGCACAAGUAGUGGAGCAUGUGGUUUAAUUCGAAGAUACGCGCAGAACCUUACCAACACUUGACAUGUUCGUCGCGACUUUAAGAGAUUAAAGUUUUCGGUUCGGCCGGACGAAACACAGGUGCUGCAUGGCUGUCGUCAGCUCGUGUCGUGAGAUGUUGGGUUAAGUCCCGCAACGAGCGCAACCCUCACUUUUAGUUGCCAUCAUUAAGUUGGGCACUCUGAAAGAACUGCCAGUGAUAAGCUGGAGGAAGGUGGGGAUGACGUCAAGUCCUCAUGGCCCUUACGUGUUGGGCUACACACGUGCUACAAUGGCAUUUACAAUAGGAAGCAAGAUGGCGACGUCAAGCAAAUCCUAAAAAGAUGCCUCAGUUCGGAUUGUACUCUGCAACUCGAGUACAUGAAGCUGGAAUUACUAGUAAUCGCGGAUCAGCGCGCCGCGGUGAAUACGUUCCCGGGUCUUGUACACACCGCCCGUCACACCAUGGGAGUUGGUUCUACCUUAAGGCAAGGCUUUAAACCCUUGACCACGGUAUAGUCAGCGACUGGGGUGAAGUCGUAACAAGGUA
This 1431-nucleotide ribosomal RNA is filed under the name uncultured Pelagibacterales bacterium. RNAcentral's name for it is "bacterial SSU rRNA". It matches the Rfam family "Bacterial small subunit ribosomal RNA". Lineage: Bacteria; Pseudomonadati; Pseudomonadota; Alphaproteobacteria; Candidatus Pelagibacterales. The record is from RNAcentral.